This 478-nucleotide ribosomal RNA is filed under the name uncultured bacterium. RNAcentral's name for it is "partial 16S ribosomal RNA". It matches the Rfam family "Bacterial small subunit ribosomal RNA", at positions 28 to 523 of the family's 1533-position model. The record is from RNAcentral.
GACGAACGCUGGCGGCGUGCUUAACACAUGCAAGUCGAACGGUAAGGCCCUUCGGGGUACACGAGUGGCGAACGGGUGAGUAACACGUGGGUGAUCUGCCCUGCACUUCGGGAUAAGCCUGGGAAACUGGGUCUAAUACCGGAUAGGACCACUGCCUGCAUGGGUGGUGGUGGAAAGCUUUUGCGGUGUGGGAUGGGCCCGCGGCCUAUCAGCUUGUUGGUGGGGUGAUGGCCUACCAAGGCGACGACGGGUAGCCGGCCUGAGAGGGUGACCGGCAACACUGGGACUGAGUUACGGCCCAGACUCCUACGGGAGACAGGAGUUGGGAAUAUUGCACAAUGGGCGCAAGCCUGAUGCAGCGACGCCGCGUGAGGGAUGACGGCCUUAGGGUUGUAAACCUCUUGCAGCACCGACGAAGCGCAAGUGACGGUGGGUGCAGAAGAAGGACCGGCCAAGUACGUGCCAGCCGCCGCGGUAA